CUCAUUUACACACCACAGCGCAUAACUAAGAGCUGCAGCCUGGCUGGCUCAUCUCAACUACUUUCUCCCUGUUAUCGCCCAAAGGUAAAGGUAGGUAAAAGAAACCAGUCGGCCUUUUCGUUUUGCACACUUCAUUUUGACGGCACUCAACUCAACUCCAACUCACUGUGAAAUCUCCCCCCUCAACCCAACAAAGAGGCUCACAUGCUGGUGACAAUGAAAGAGACAGUUAACAGUUGGACCUCUUCUCCCCAGUGUGUCGCAGGGGGGGGGGUCGCAUCUAUUGUUUACUGUCUGCAGGUGGUCUUAAGCUGCUGGAGCGUUGCCCUAAUGGAGACAUUUGAAAG
Gasterosteus aculeatus aculeatus (three-spined stickleback) is the source of this 347-nucleotide long non-coding RNA. NCBI's taxonomy places the organism in Eukaryota, Metazoa, Chordata, Actinopteri, Perciformes, Gasterosteidae. The record is from Ensembl.